UGGGGAAUUUUGGACAAUGGGCGAAAGCCUGAUCCAGCAAUGCCGCGUGUGUGAAGAAGGCCUUCGGGUUGUAAAGCACUUUUGUCCGGAAAGAAAUGGCUCUGGUUAAUACCUGGGGUCGAUUACGGUACCGGAAGAAUAAGGACCGGCUAACUACGUGCCAGCAGCCGCGGUAAUACGUAGGGUCCAAGCGUUAAUCGGAAUUACUGGGCGUAAAGCGUGCGCAGGCGGUUGUGCAAGACCGAUGUGAAAUCCCCGAGCUUAACUUGGGAAUAGCAUUGGUUACUGCACGGCUAGAGUGUGUCAGAGGGGGGUAGAAUUCCACGUGUAGCAGUGAAAUGCGUAGAGAUGUGGAGGAAUACCGAUGGCGAAGGCAGCCCCCUGGGAUAACACUGACGCUCAUGCACGAAAGCGUGGGGAGCAAACAGG
This 429-nucleotide ribosomal RNA is filed under the name Bacillota bacterium. RNAcentral describes it as "Firmicutes bacterium partial 16S ribosomal RNA". It matches the Rfam family "Bacterial small subunit ribosomal RNA", at positions 355 to 776 of the family's 1533-position model. Lineage: Bacteria; Bacillati; Bacillota. The record is from RNAcentral.